This 1146-nucleotide ribosomal RNA is filed under the name Enterococcus casseliflavus. RNAcentral describes it as "bacterial SSU rRNA". It matches the Rfam family "Bacterial small subunit ribosomal RNA", at positions 94 to 1227 of the family's 1533-position model. The record is from RNAcentral. Lineage: Bacteria; Bacillati; Bacillota; Bacilli; Lactobacillales; Enterococcaceae.
AGUGGCGAACGGGUGAGUAACACGUGGGUAACCUGCCCAUCAGAAGGGGAUAACACUUUGGAAACAGGUGCUAAUACCGUAUAACACUAUUUUCCGCAUGGAAGAAAGUUGAAAGGCGCUUUUGCGUCACUGAUGGAUGGACCCGCGGUGCAUUAGCUAGUUGGUGAGGUAACGGCUCACCAAGGCAACGAUGCAUAGCCGACCUGAGAGGGUGAUCGGCCACACUGGGACUGAGACACGGCCCAGACUCCUACGGGAGGCAGCAGUAGGGAAUCUUCGGCAAUGGACGAAAGUCUGACCGAGCAACGCCGCGUGAGUGAAGAAGGUUUUCGGAUCGUAAAACUCUGUUGUUAGAGAAGAACAAGGAUGAGAGUAAAAUGUUCAUCCCUUGACGGUAUCUAACCAGAAAGCCACGGCUAACUACGUGCCAGCAGCCGCGGUAAUACGUAGGUGGCAAGCGUUGUCCGGAUUUAUUGGGCGUAAAGCGAGCGCAGGCGGUUUCUUAAGUCUGAUGUGAAAGCCCCCGGCUCAACCGGGGAGGGUCAUUGGAAACUGGGAGACUUGAGUGCAGAAGAGGAGAGUGGAAUUCCAUGUGUAGCGGUGAAAUGCGUAGAUAUAUGGAGGAACACCAGUGGCGAAGGCGGCUCUCUGGUCUGUAACUGACGCUGAGGCUCGAAAGCGUGGGGAGCGAACAGGAUUAGAUACCCUGGUAGUCCACGCCGUAAACGAUGAGUGCUAAGUGUUGGAGGGUUUCCGCCCUUCAGUGCUGCAGCAAACGCAUUAAGCACUCCGCCUGGGGAGUACGACCGCAAGGUUGAAACUCAAAGGAAUUGACGGGGGCCCGCACAAGCGGUGGAGCAUGUGGUUUAAUUCGAAGCAACGCGAAGAACCUUACCAGGUCUUGACAUCCUUUGACCACUCUAGAGAUAGAGCUUCCCCUUCGGGGGCAAAGUGACAGGUGGUGCAUGGUUGUCGUCAGCUCGUGUCGUGAGAUGUUGGGUUAAGUCCCGCAACGAGCGCAACCCUUAUUGUUAGUUGCCAUCAUUUAGUUGGGCACUCUAGCGAGACUGCCGGUGACAAACCGGAGGAAGGUGGGGAUGACGUCAAAUCAUCAUGCCCCUUAUGACCUGGGCUACACACGUGCUA